ACGUAAAAAGCAAGAGCGAAAUAGAUGCGAAGAAAGAAAAAACGCUGCACUUACCACUGUUUUCAUUGUUUGUAUAAUUCAGAACCCUGCUGCUUUCUUUUUCUUUUUCUUCAAUGUGUGUUUUUUA
Molecule: non-coding RNA, 127 nt
Filed under: uncultured eukaryote
Lineage: Eukaryota
Source: RNAcentral